RNAcentral lists this transfer RNA (80 nucleotides) under archaeon. RNAcentral describes it as "tRNA-Asn". The record is from RNAcentral.
ACUGGCAUGGUAGGGUAAAUGUUCCAAAUGAGCGCCUGUUAAGCGGAUGGUCGCAGGUUCAAGUCCUGCUGACGGCGCCA